GACGAACGUUGGCGGCGUGCUUAACACAUGCAAGUCGAACGGAAAGGCCCUGCUUUUGUGGGGUGCUCGAGUGGCGAACGGGUGAGUAACACGUGAGUAACCUGCCCUUGACUUUGGGAUAACUUCAGGAAACUGGGGCUAAUACCGGAUAGGAGCUCCUGCUGCAUGGUGGGGGUUGGAAAGUUUCGGCGGUUGGGGAUGGACUCGCGGCUUAUCAGCUUGUUGGUGGGGUAGUGGCUUACCAAGGCUUUGACGGGUAGCCGGCCUGAGAGGGUGACCGGCCACAUUGGGACUGAGAUACGGCCCAGACUCCUACGGGAGGCAGCAGUGGGGAAUAUUGCACAAUGGGCGGAAGCCUGAUGCAGCAACGCCGCGUGCGGGAUGACGGCCUUCGGGUUGUAAACCGCUUUCGCCUGUGACGAAGCGUGAGUGACGGUAAUGGGUAAAGAAGCACCGGCUAACUACGUGCCAGCAGCCGCGGUGAUACGUAGGGUGCGAGCGUUGUCCGGAUUUAUUGGGCGUAAAGGGCUCGUAGGUGGUUGAUCGCGUCGGAAGUGUAAUCUUGGGGCUUAACCCUGAGCGUGCUUUCGAUACGGGUUGACUUGAGGAAGGUAGGGGAGAAUGGAAUUCCUGGUGGAGCGGUGGAAUGCGCAGAUAUCAGGAGGAACACCAGUGGCGAAGGCGGUCCUCUGGGCCUUUCCUGACGCUGAGGAGCGAAAGCGUGGGGAGCGAACAGGCUUAGAUACCCUGGUAGUCCACGCUGUAAACGGUGGGUACUAGGUGUGGGGUCCAUUCCACGGGUUCCGUGCCGUAGCUAACGCUUUAAGUACCCCGCCUGGGGAGUACGGCCGCAAGGCUAAAACUCAAAGGAAUUGACGGGGCCCCGCACAAGCGGCGGAGCAUGCGGAUUAAUUCGAUGCAACGCGUAGAACCUUACCUGGGUUUGACAUGGAUCGGGAGUGCUCAGAGAUGGGUGUGCCUCUUUUGGGGUCGGUUCACAGGUGGUGCAUGGCUGUCGUCAGCUCGUGUCGUGAGAUGUUGGGUUAAGUCCCGCAACGAGCGCAACCCUUGUUCACUGUUGCCAGCACGUUAUGGUGGGGACUCAGUGGAGACCGCCGGGGUCAACUCGGAGGAAGGUGGGGAUGACGUCAAGUCAUCAUGCCCCUUAUGUCCAGGGCUUCACGCAUGCUACAAUGGCUGGUACAGAGAGUGGCGAGCCUGUGAGGGUGAGCGAAUCUCGGAAAGCCGGUCUCAGUUCGGAUUGGGGUCUGCAACUCGACCUCAUGAAGUCGGAGUCGCUAGUAAUCGCAGAUCAGCAACGCUGCGGUGAAUACGUUCCCGGGGCU
Molecule: ribosomal RNA, 1346 nt
Filed under: uncultured bacterium
Lineage: Bacteria
Description: partial 16S ribosomal RNA
Rfam family: Bacterial small subunit ribosomal RNA
Source: RNAcentral